AUGGUGAAAAGAUUCUUGAUAUUUCCAUUGGCCCAAAAUGCACUAAGUCAUCCCCAAAUUCGAAGCAUUCAGCAAACAAUGGCAAGGCAGAGCCACCAGAAAUGUACACCUGAUUUCCAUGACAAAUAUGGUGACACUGUAUUAGCUAGUGGAGCCACUUUCUGUAUUGCUGUGUGGACAUAUACAGCAACACACAUUGGAAUGCAAUGGAACCUGUCCCCUGCUGGCAGAGUCAUCCCAAAGGAUUUGAGAGACCAGUAA
Molecule: RNA transcript, 261 nt
Organism: Galeopterus variegatus (Sunda flying lemur)
Lineage: Eukaryota; Metazoa; Chordata; Mammalia; Dermoptera; Cynocephalidae
Gene name: cytochrome c oxidase subunit 7B, mitochondrial pseudogene
Exons: 2
Source: RefSeq, a predicted model, not a curated record